RNAcentral lists this ribosomal RNA (512 nucleotides) under uncultured bacterium. RNAcentral describes it as "partial 16S ribosomal RNA". It matches the Rfam family "Bacterial small subunit ribosomal RNA", at positions 28 to 507 of the family's 1533-position model. The record is from RNAcentral.
GAUGAACGCUGGCGGCGUGCCUAAUACAUGCAAGUCGAACGAAACUUCUUUAUCACCGAGUGCUUGCACUCACCGAUAAAGAGUUGAGUGGCGAACGGGUGAGUAACACGUGGGCAACCUGCCCAAAAGAGGGGGAUAACACUUGGAAACAGGUGCUAAUACCGCAUAACCAUAGUUACCGCAUGGUAACUAUGUAAAAGGUGGCUAUACUACCGCCUUUGGAUGGGCCCGCGGCGCAUUAGCUAGUUGGUAGGGUAAAGGCUUACCAAGGCAAUGAUGCGUAGCCGAAUUGAGAGGGUGAUCGGCCACAUUGGGACUGAGACACGGCCCAAACUCCUACGGGAGGCAGCAGUAGGGAAUCUUCCACAAUGGGCGAAAGCCUGAUGGAGCAACGCCGCGUGGGUGAAGAAGGUCUUCGGAUCGUAAAACCCUGUUGUUAGAGAAGAAAGUGCGUGAGAGUAACUGUUCACGUUUCGACGGUAUCUAACCAGAAAGCCACGGCUAACUACGUG